CUUUUUAGGACAAUUAUCCAACUGCUUCCAACAGAACACUGGGGGAGGAAAUCACUGUGAGGAAGCCACGUAUUGGAGCAGUUUGCCCUGGGCUGUUGAACUGCCUCCAUCCUUGUACAUUUUCCAGACCUACCUGGAUAAAACCUGAGUGCCCUGAUCAGAUAGAUCUCAGAGCCAACCCAGCAGAAGUUCUUGUGGGAGAGGAGGAAGGAUGAUAAUGACAGCUCCCUUGUGCCCACACCUGGAAACUCUUCCACCCUUCCUCCUCGUGCUGGAGGGUGAUGUUCAGCGCAUGUUGAAGGCUUCCAGCAACUGAUUCAUUACCCCAUCAUACCAGAGUAGCAUCCAGCAUUGCUGUGUCAGUCCAGGGAGCCUUGUUGUAAAAUUUAGGUCUUACCAAUUCCUGCAAAGCACCAGAAGCCACAGAUAUCUGUCAUCCACUGGUGACGUAAAGACACAUAAUCGUGGUUAGAAAAUAUUUCAAGGAUGCAUUAGUGUUUCACUAACGUAAAUGUGAUAUUUACGUAUAGGUAAUAUUCUAAGUGGCAUCUUCGUGGUUCCCCUACAAUUAAAAUAAUCAGUGGAAAGAUGCCUUCUCUUUUUUUUUUUUCAGCAGUACAUUUGAUAUCUCAGCCAUUUAACACAGCAUUGAAAACAUUUUCUUUCGUGCUUUAAACCUAGAUUUGAAUAUAUCUAUUUUCUAUGAACCGAGUUCAGUACAAACAUGAUAAAAUUCUCACUAAAGGAAAGAAGCACCUGGUGUAUACUGAACUUGCUUAGGAGAUGGAUGGGAGGCACUGCAAAAAGUUGACUCAGCAAGAAAUCUUUCUGCAGAUUUUCAAGGAAAGGCUUUUUGCUCUUGCAUCUUUACAAACAUCUCUGGAUAUACUACAACAGCCCUAUAUGUAGACACACUUAUCCUGGAAUUGGCUGCUUUUCUAUUCACUGAGGCAGGAAAAAAAAGAUAUUUUUCCCCCAGAACACAGGAAUGACAUGAACAGCAAUACCUGCUGAAAUUCAUGCAUACCCUAAUGCUGUAUACUGUAUGCAUACUGUCACAUUUUUUUCAAAUGGAGAAAUACUAAAUUUAUUUCCACGUGUGGCUCUCUUGUAUCACUUAGCAUUGAUGUAUUAUUAAGGAAAGCCACGACUACCUAUGACUGCGUUGCACAUUCUGCAGGAACACACCUACUAGCCCUGAUAACAUGGCCAUGUGAUUUGCAUAAUAACUUUCUGUCUAUCUAAAUUCACGUUUCUAUUACGACUGUGCAUGCGAUUCCUAGUGUUUUUCUCUGCUGUUAAACAGAUGCUGCAUUUCAGACUUGGUGAAAUAGUUCUCUCUCUCUAUUUUUUUUUCCCUUCACAGAACUGCUUUGGGAUCUCUUUAGCUGAAAGAUAGCAUAUAAAUGCAAAUCACCCUUGGCCACAUAGCCCAGAAUUACUUUUGCAUUUUAUUCUUGAUCUGCUUCUGUAUAUAGAGCAUUCCUGAAAGACAGUGAAAUUAGAUUUACUCAUAUGGCUGACCUGCUUUGAGGAAAACAAACACAUGAUAGCCUUGUGCUACAUGAAUGUCAUGAUCUAAUGAAUGGUCCUGCUGAAAAGUAUCUCCUUUAAUUAAUUACUGACAAGACAAUUUCAUUUCAUUUAUAGCUUUAGAAAACAAACAAAGCAAAAAAUCCCAAAGCCUACAUAUAUGUAUGUCACACCUUCUCAAGUUUCUUUUUUCCCUAGUGUUAUUAACACAGAUAUAUACAUUUGCACCAAUAAUUGCUCUUUGUUUGAAUCCUUUUAAGCAAGUCUCCUUUAGUAAUGACUAUCACAAAACAUAUUCUGGCAGAAUAUGCAAAUUCUGCAAAAGAUAAGUCUGUUUAUGUUACUCAGUAAAGACAUAACGUUUACUCAAGAACAGAAACUCUACCUGCAUGCAAAUUAAAUUUAGAGCACUCCUUUGCAGAUAGUUAAAGUCUAUCAGGCCAGGGGCAAUCCAUGAAUGUGACUGCAGUGACGGAAGGUAAAGUGAGUAAGAAGUCUGAUCUGCAGACAGUGCACAUGUACCCGAUGCAGGAAAAUUCCCUCCAUGGGAUUGUCAAUGGUUUGUUCACCAUCCACAAGAAUUGGCUGCCUGUGUUAUGAAACUUUGGAAAAGCAGACAGAAAAGAAAUACGAAUAAAAACAAAACUCCAAUUAAAAGAGCUAGAGCCAAGUGCUUACUGCAUCACGCCUUUCAUUCGCUUUCAUUGAGUCAUGGCUAGCAGGUGUCACCUAUGGUUUCAGAUCCCGCAUAUUCCUGGCACUGCCCACGUGCCAGCAAGGGGUUUAGGUGAAUACUCUCCCAGUUGUAGGCUGAUAGGCAUAGUGGCAAAGCAUGGAUAGUGCUGGUGUGACUUCCAUGGGAGACCGGAGUACUCACUGGGAAGCAGAUGUUGCAGUGAAGAUGUAAAAGCAGCACAUGUAACUAUGGCAUAGCCAAGGACCACAGAAGGAACGGGAGUUUCUUCAUGUGCCUCUGAUGGGGAAGAAAGCAAGCAGCAGUUGUGCUGAGGAAGCAGCUCAGGACAGAUUUACCAGCAAACCAGAUCACUUCAGGGCUUGCCCAGCUGAAAAUGAAGAGAUAAUGUAGAGAGGCAGAGUGCAAACCAGCAUGUAAAUAUUCAUUUUAUCACCUCUCAUCUUGUGAGAAAUGUGUCGUGGCUUCCUCCAUACCUACAGUUGCUCAGGGCUCUUGUUUCAUAGCUAAAGAUAAUUCUCCUGGUAGCAUGAUACAAAACAGUGGUGAAUUGUUUGACUCCAGAAGCUGGCUACCAACGAACCAGCUUUAUUUCCUCCCUACAACUCUCCACGCAUUCCAGGACUGGACCUCAUGCAUUGCAGGAGCACAGGGAGGGAUGCAGGAGCAGCAGGCAAUUUGUUGGCACCAUUUGGCCUUGACACAAAGAGAUGAGCUGAGGCAUUUCGGAAGGCCUUACGGACAGCCAACAGAAGGAUGCUUGUGACAGCCAGGCUGGGAGCAAGGCAAAGGGGAACAAACCCAGAGCAGGACUCUUUAGUAGGGUCUGUUGUGACAAGGGUAAAUGGUUUCAAACUAAAAGAGGGGAGAUUUAGAGUGGACAUAAGGAAGCAGUUAUUUACAAUAAGGGCAGUGAAGCACUAGAACAGGGUGCCCAGAGAGGUGGUGGGUGGCCAUCGCCGCAGACAUGCAAGGUCAGGCUGCAGGGGGCUCUGAGCACCCUGAUCUGCUGUAGGUGUCCCUGUUCAUUGCAGGGCAUUUGCACUAGGUGGCCUUUGGGGAGCUCUUCCAGAUCAAAUGAUUUCAUGAUUCUAUAAAAAAAGAUCUCCAGAACUUCAGAAGCAGCAAAUAUCCUCUGUGCACACUCCCUAGGUCGUGUAGCUGGCCAUGGGUGACACUGAUCGCUCCAGCAGACACGACGUGCUGCCACUGUGUCAUGCAUGGCGCCUCGGCAGAUGCGCUCCUCCCAGAGCCAAUGUAUGUAAGUACUGAUCUUAUUGACUCUGAUACCAAUGGACGCGAUGUGACGCUGGAAUAAAGCCACAGCUGUGCCUCGCAGAAACCAGGGGGAACAAAACAGCGGCAAGCUCUGGAGGCAACGCUUUCUCCGCGGGACCCCGUCCUGCUGGUUGUCUCCUUAACACGCCGAUCUCAAAGGGAACGCGGGGGCCUCUCUCCGCCCCACCUGAGGAUGUCUGCACACAAACCCCGGACGGCGGUGGCCGGGCUGCCUCGCUCCGGCCUCCGGGCACGAGGGUCG
Gallus gallus (chicken) is the source of this 3767-nucleotide long non-coding RNA. The record is from Ensembl. Lineage: Eukaryota; Metazoa; Chordata; Aves; Galliformes; Phasianidae.